AAAUAAAUAGCUAAAUUUUAAGUAUAUUAUUUACAAUAAUAUGAUGUUUUUAAACUUUAUUU
This 62-nucleotide transfer RNA is filed under the name Mindarus keteleerifoliae. RNAcentral describes it as "tRNA-Val". Lineage: Eukaryota; Metazoa; Arthropoda; Insecta; Hemiptera; Mindaridae. The record is from RNAcentral.